Molecule: small RNA, 81 nt
Filed under: unclassified sequences
Description: dinG RNA
Rfam family: dinG RNA
Source: Rfam by way of RNAcentral
AAUGAUACUUCCAUGAAAGUGGCCCACGAGGAGAGGGGAGAAUGCACACCCACGUUUGAGAAAGAAUGUGGGGCGGCUUCU